GUGGGGCCCCCAGCAUCACAGGUAACUAACCGCUCAGAUGUGGGGCCCCCAGCAUCACAGGUAACUAACUGCUCAGAUGUGGGGCCCCCAGCAUCACAGGUAACUAACCGCUCAGAUGUGGGGCCCCCAGCAUCACAGGUAACUAACCGCUCAGACGUGGGGCCCCAGCAUCACAGGUAACUAACCGCUCAGACGUGGGGCCCCAGCAUCACAGGUAACUAACCGCUCAGACGUGGGGCCCCCAGCAUCACAGGUAACUAACCGCUCAGACGUGGGGCCCCAGCAUCACAGGUAACUAACCGCUCAGAUAUGUGGGGCCCCAGCAUCACAGGUAACUAACUGCAUCAGACGUGGGGCCCCAGCAUCACAGGUAACUAACCGUUCAGACAUGGGGCCCCAGCAUCACAGGUAACUAACCGCUCAGACGUGGCGUUCCCCAGCAUCACAGGUAACUAACUGCAUCAGACAUGGGGCCCCAGCAUCACAGGUAACUAACUGUAUCAGAUGUGGGGCCCCAGCAUCACAGGUAACUAACCGCUCAGACGUGGGGCCCCAGCAUCACAGGUAACUAACUGCAUCAGACGUGGGGUUCCCCAGCAUCACAGGUAACUAACCGCUCAGACGUGGGGGCCCCAGCAUCACAGGUAACUAACUGCUCUGAUGUGUAUGGGGCUUUACAGCAAGUUCUGUGUGUCUUUGGUUUGUGUGAAGAUUAAAUAGCUUUCAUUACUGCACUCUAAGGUUCCUGGGUUAGGAAGGAAGUGCCUGCUGCCUCCUGCGUGACCAGUGUGGGCCCUGCCCUCAUGGGAACUUGUGGAGACGCUCACCUACCAAGCCCUGCCUCCAGCUUAGAUUUCUGCCUCUUUCAGAAUCGAAAAGCUUGAAUAACUUGGUAUAUUUAUCUUCUCUCUUGGGCCAUAAGAGAAUCUCAUAUAAUCCCCCAUACGUUUUUUAUUUCUGAUUAACAGUGGGUCACAAGUAGGGUUCCAGGGGAUAGUUCUGCACUGCAUCCACCACCAGAGAUCUGUGUCCCCACCCUUCUACCUCCCAUAGAUAACCACCAUAGUUCCCAUAAGUCUUAGAAACAGUUUCCUUUAUUAAAUAUUUAUUUAUUCCC
This is a long non-coding RNA of Erinaceus europaeus (western European hedgehog), 1117 nucleotides long. RefSeq lists it as uncharacterized. Lineage: Eukaryota; Metazoa; Chordata; Mammalia; Eulipotyphla; Erinaceidae. The record is from RefSeq and is a predicted model, not a curated record. The transcript is spliced from 2 exons.